RNAcentral lists this long non-coding RNA (318 nucleotides) under Rattus norvegicus (Norway rat). RNAcentral's name for it is "long non-coding RNA NONRATT020551". The record is from RNAcentral. Lineage: Eukaryota; Metazoa; Chordata; Mammalia; Rodentia; Muridae.
AAAGAGAGUCCUGAAGUCAGUUGUGUUGUCUCAUUUUAGAAUACCCUGUAAAGAGCACGCUGGCUGUACUUGUGUCUGAUUUUCCCCCUGAAUUUAAUGGCACAGAAUUCUGCAUUAAUCUUGACCUGUUGUUGUAUGACUGAGAGCGGUUAUAAUUUAAAAUUUUGUUUAGAUUGCAGGUGAGAAGAAGUCAGCCCAGUGGCGAACAGUGGAGGGUGCGUUGAAGGAGCGAAGAAAGGCAGUUGACGAAGCUGCUGAUGCCCUUCUCAAAGCCAAAGAAGAGUUAGAGAAGAUGAAAACUAUAAUUGAAGAUGCAAA